This 483-nucleotide ribosomal RNA is filed under the name uncultured Entrophospora. RNAcentral's name for it is "SSU rRNA". It matches the Rfam family "Eukaryotic small subunit ribosomal RNA", at positions 569 to 1050 of the family's 1831-position model. The record is from RNAcentral. Lineage: Eukaryota; Fungi; Glomeromycota; Glomeromycetes; Entrophosporales; Entrophosporaceae.
AGCAGCCGCGGUAAUUCCAGCUCCAAUAGCGUAUAUUAAAGUUGUUGCAGUUAAAAAGCUCGUAGUUGAAUUUCGGGAUUGGCGCAUCGGUCGUGCCUCACGGGGUAUGAACUGGUGCAGUCAAUUUCUCACCUUCUGGAGAACCGCGAUGUCCUUAAUUGGAUGCUGCGGGGAACCAGGACCUUUACUUUGAAAAAAUUGAGUGUUUAAAGCAGGCAUUUUUGCUUGAAUACAUUAGCAUGGAAUAAUAAAAUAGGACGGCAUGGUUCUAUUUUGUUGGUUUCUAGGACCACCGUAAUGAUUAAUAGGGAUAGUUGGGGGCAUUAGUAUUCAAUUGUCAGAGGUGAAAUCCUUGGAUUUAUUGAAGACUAACUACUGCGAAAGCAUUUGCCAAGGAUGUUUUCAUUAAUCAAGAACGAAAGUUAGGGGAUCGAAGACGAUCAGAUACCGUCGUAGUCUUAACCAUAAACUAUGCCGACUAGG